GACGAACGCUGGCGGCGUGCUUAACACAUGCAAGUCGAACGAGGAGCGAUGGAAGCUUGCUUCUAUCAAUCUUAGUGGCGCACGGGUGAGUAACGCGUAAACAACCUGCCCUUCAGAGGGGGACAACAGUUGGAAACGACUGCUAAUACCGCAUACGAUCUAAUCUCGGCAUCGAGGAUAGAUGAAAGGUGGCCUCUACAUGUAAGCUAUCACUGAAGGAGGGGAUUGCGUCUGAUUAGCUAGUUGGAGGGGUAACGGCCCACCAAGGCGAUGAUCAGUAGCCGGUCUGAGAGGAUGAACGGCCACAUUGGGACUGAGACACGGCCCAGACUCCUACGGGAGGCAGCAGUGGGGAAUCUUCCGCAAUGGACGAAAGUCUGACGGAGCAACGCCGCGUGAGCGAUGACAGCCUUCGGGUUGUAAAGCUCUGUUAAUCGGGACGAAAGGCCUUCUUGCGAAUAGUGAGAAGGAUUGACGGUACCGGAAUAGAAAGCCACGGCUAACUACGUG
Molecule: ribosomal RNA, 510 nt
Filed under: uncultured bacterium
Lineage: Bacteria
Description: partial 16S ribosomal RNA
Rfam family: Bacterial small subunit ribosomal RNA
Source: RNAcentral